This 253-nucleotide ribosomal RNA is filed under the name uncultured bacterium. Its description in RNAcentral is "partial 16S ribosomal RNA". It matches the Rfam family "Bacterial small subunit ribosomal RNA", at positions 524 to 776 of the family's 1533-position model. The record is from RNAcentral.
UACAGAGACUGCAAGCGUUAUUCGGAUUCACUGGGCGUAAAGGGUGCGCAGGCGGCCAUGUGUGUGAGGCGUGAAAGCCCGGAGCUCAACUCCGGAAUUGCACCUCAAACUACAUGGCUAGAGCAUUGGAGAGGGAAGCGGAAUUCACGGUGUAGCAGUGAAAUGCGUAGAUAUCUGGAGGAACACCGGUGGCGAAGGCGGCAUCCUGGACCGGCAUUGACGCUGAGGCGCGAAAGCCAGGGGAGCAGACGGG